AGCCACGAAGCGGCGCCGUGCGCGACGACGACGACGACGUCGACGUCGGACACCCUCGCGCACCGUCCACUUUCCUCGUUCUCCCGCUUCAUCUUCUUCUUCGCCUUCGGUCGCGUGUUCGUUCAAUAAGGAUUGCGGCCGUAAGGGUUGCUCGACAGAGAGAGAGAGGAAGAAAGAAAGAAAAAGAGUGUGUGUGUCCGGUUGAAAUUAAAUUUCGACCGGACGUCGUCCAGUGGACAGACGGAGGGACCAAGUGGUCGUGGGGGGACUCGGCGUCCUUUUCUGUCUCUCCUCGCAAUUUCGAUCCUCGAUACCCUCGGUGGCGCGUACGUGAGUGCGGUACUUCGGUCGGAAACGAAUCGCCUUGGUGGUACGACGUGCGAAUUCUUAUCGAGGACGCCGAAGAGAGAGAGAGAGAGAGAGAGGCGCGGGAGCAGCGUGGGCAGUCACUGCUACACGGCGUGUGGUGGUCGGGUCUAUAAUUAACCGCGGAGGACGCGUCUGGAAGAGAAACGAGCUACCGUUUCUACGAGAAAUUCAGCCGAGAGGCUGCGAGCGACUCUCGACGGCUGGGAAAAGAGAGAGAGAGAGAGAAGGAGGCGGGGAGCUGAUCGGUGAAACCGCCACGCGACGCGAGAAAAAGUGCGAACGGGGAUGUGGGGUCGUCGGGUCGCGGACUCGACGAAUCGGCCCCGCUAGGGAAACCGCGGCGAUCCCUCGACGAAGCCGCCGUGUACCAUCUCGAGGAAAUCGCCCCGGGAGGUAAUCUUCCGGGGUGUACUCAUCAGAGAGGGAUUAUCGGGCGAAGCACGCUGGAGAGCGAAGUGAGGUCCGCCGAAUAAUAAAAAACUUCCUGAGUCUCGUCGCAGGGAGUUACCGAGUGUGUGAAGACGGAGCUGCUCCGUACAGUGAGAGUGUGAGCCAAUUACGCAGUAACUCUCUGGGUCUUCCCGUGUACACGUGCUGACGAAACGGCCGGAAAUCGGUCGCGCGAUAUCCAGUUCUCAAGCGGCGCGCGCGAAUCUGUCCCCCCUCCUCCCCUCUUUCUCUCUCUCUCUCUCUGUCGUCGCGCAAAGCAGGAAUUAGAUUUAACCGCGUGACUCACUCGAAGAGGCGCCCGGGCGCUACGUCGAGCGCGGUCUCGUUUCAAUCGGGAACGCGGAGUGUGAUCUCGUUGAGUCAACCGGAUUGACGAGAGAAACGAACGUGGCUACAACGAGGAAGGGCGACCGAGCGAGCGAGCGAUCAGCGGCACUCGAGGUUGAACUCGAGGGCUACGCGUGAUCCGUGAUUAGGACGUCGAUCGAUCGGGAAUUAACGCGGGAGAGAGCCGAACGGGCUGCGAUAGGAGCAUCAAUAGCCUAAUAAAUGUCACUCGCAACGAUCGAUCGCCGCCUUUUGCCAGCCAUGAUGUAAAGAGAGCGCGAUUUCACAGCGGCGGGGAGUGCCCGAGGGUGCGAACCACCGAGCGUUGUCGGGAGCGCGACUGGUCCCCGCUCGGCCGUCGAGGGAUAUAUCGCGGCGCGGGGGAGGAAAGCCCCGGCUCGUCGUCGGUCCGUCGUGCAUCUUCGUCGUGGGCGCGUCGAAGUUCGCGAGACAACCUGGCAACCGGAGCCGCGCGCGGAAGAGGAUCGACCCCCUACGCGGUUACGCACGGAUGGAGGAUGAGGAGCGGUAUGUGAGGGAGAGAGGCGGACGCUCCUAAACCGAUGAGAUGACAGUGCUGUGCGUGCUGUGGGCUACUCUGUCCACCGUGGCCUCGAUCCUGGCGUGCUCCGGUUUUUACCUGCCCUACUGGAUCCAGGGACGACUGCUGGGGAAGGCGGACGCGUAUUUCAGUUCCUUUCGGCGUUGCAACUACCCGCGGAUCAGAGCACCUAACACCACGCCUGAGAUAGUUUACGAGUGCGCGAGGUACUCCAGCUUUUGGGAUAUACCGAGCGCCUGGUGGCAAGCGAGCACGGUCACGAUGGGCAUCGGCGUUGCGGUCGCAGUGAUUGGUGCCCUCACGCUUUUGGCGGCGGCGUCGUCGUUCUUGCCGCACAUCUUGAAGACGCCGAAGCACACGAGGAUCCUUGGCUCCUUGCAGUUGCUCGCUGCAGCGAUGAUAUGCGGCGGUCUGGUGAUGUAUCCGAUAGGCUGGGAUAAUCGGGAAGUGCGCGAGUCCUGCGGGAAAGGGGCCAAUGUUUACAAUCUCGGGAAGUGCUCGGUGUCCUGGUCGACUCACUUGCUGGUAGGCUCGGUGGCGUUGCUGAUGCUGUGCUUCGGUCUGAGUUUCUGCGCGGCCCGACACAAGCCCUCGAACCCGCACACGGAUCCCCUGCGCAUUUGACAAUCGAGAUACUCCCAGUCGAUUCACGCCUACGCCUCGCCGAAGACGACCACGCUCUCCAUCGUCACGGUCUGUUGAUCGUGCCUGGCGCUGUUGCGGCGCCUGGGUGUGCCGUGCGUGUGCACGGUUCGAGAGAGAGCUGCUGCUGGUACGGUAUUUCCAAUUCGGUGCCGUAGUAGUAAGCCCGGUUGGAAGCGACGAAGCAAUUGGCAAUUCGCCUCAGCGGGACUUUCAGCACUUUCAAUUCGCAUGGGGAGCAAGCUCUGUUCGCUUCGCUCGCUCGCUCGCCGGCUGUAUACGCGGUGGAAACGCGAGAGGACUCGAAGAGACGGACACUCCCCCGCAUCGGGAGUCUGCAUUCAGAUGCGCCGUAACGAUCACGAUAUCCAGGUGGACCGCCGCUUCUCCCGAGAACCCCGGGAAUCACUGUUUCCCACGGCCUUUCGAAUAUAUCGAUCGUACAGAGGCACACGGAACAUUUCGACGAACUCUCCGGAGAUUUGUGCAUACCUCUCUCUCUCUCUCUCUUUCUCUCUAUUCCUGUCACUAUCUUCCUCUUAGCAUUUAUUCCAGUCUCGGAUCCUCUCUAUCUCUCUUUCUUUCUCUCUCUCUUUCUCUCUUUCUCUCGGCCUGCCCAGAUGUUGUUUCUUUCGCAGGAGUAAUUUAUCGGUUCAACGGCGGGAGUCGGCUUUUAACGUUCCUUUGAAAAAUUUAUCCGCAACCGCAAGAGACAAGAGCGCAUGGUCCGUCACACGGAUUUCUCUCGGAUAUAUUUCGCAUAUUUAUGAGGCAGCGACCGAGUGACCUACGGCGAUUUCGAUGAGAGUUCCGCUUGGUACCAUCGCGGGACGAACCGAAAAUGAGGGACGCGUAGCUUUUCAUGAUCACUCUCUUUCUCCCCCGUGUACGUUUAGGAAUUGCGACAAUCUCAGGUUGCACACCAGCGAGUGUCAGGUAAUCGUCGCGCGUAUUGAAUCGCGCAAGCGAGAGGGAGAAUUGGGCUCGAGCCAAGCGCGGGCGGGAAAUUUAGCGGGUAGCAUAAUCCGCGUAAUUAAAAGAUAAAAGGAUCAGAAAAGGUCGAGGAGUUCUGCUAGGAUGAGAUCUGCGGGCGCUAGUUUAUUUGUAUUGCGGCUCCCCUAUCUAAACAGUCCGCGGGUCUUCGGCUCCCUCUUCUUCUCCCGCGAAGCGAAAGAAUCCCGCGAGCCGGUCUCGAGUCAGUGGCCCGAAGGAUCCAGCGAAGAGAAAUAUUUUCUCGCUUAAUAUUUACGACGUCCGCCAGCUUGACUUUCCCACCGGCCACUUAAUCGCGCAAGCCACGACGUUCGCAAACGUCGACAUCGAAAGAUACGGUCGCGAUAUCGUGCGCCAUUCUACGGUAAGUUACAUUGAGAAAUCCACUUAGUUGAACCAAACAAAGUUAUUGUUAGCACGGAGGAAAAUAAUUUUGCUGGCAGCAGCAAAUUGUUGGUUAUUUUUAGAACAACAAAAAGAUUUGUUACACGGGGAAAAUAAUUUUGUCGUAGCGAAACCGUCAUCGUGACAGCGAUAAAAUUUUGUUAACAUAGCUAAUAUUUUUCUGAAUAUCUAUGUAUCCAGCAAAUGGCAAUUAAGAUGCUUAAUAAAACUUCUCGCUGUCCAAACAAAUCUUUUUGCUGUCCAAACAAAUUUUUUUAUUGUCCCUAUAGUAAAAUAUAUAGCAUAAAUAUA
Molecule: RNA transcript, 4039 nt
Organism: Dinoponera quadriceps
Lineage: Eukaryota; Metazoa; Arthropoda; Insecta; Hymenoptera; Formicidae
Gene name: lipoma HMGIC fusion partner-like
Exons: 6
Source: RefSeq, a predicted model, not a curated record